RNAcentral lists this unclassified non-coding RNA (355 nucleotides) under Hevea brasiliensis (rubber tree). Lineage: Eukaryota; Viridiplantae; Streptophyta; Magnoliopsida; Malpighiales; Euphorbiaceae. The record is from RNAcentral.
CCCUCCCAUUUUUUCCCCUCCUCGCUUUCCCCCUUCUAAUUUUGCUUCCAAACACGGUACAAAGAAGAAAAUAUUUUCGAGGCUUAACGCGUUUCCCCUGGCUCACGCUCAAAGCUUGAUGGCGUCGGAAUCAGAACCAAACCCACUAGAAGAAGAAGAAGAACAACAACGAUACCAGCAAGACCAAGAAGCAGCCCUUGAGGCGCCUGCACAUCACCCUUCUGCCCCUCCCGAUGAGCUAUUUGACAUUUCAACUACAGUUGAUCCUAGUUAUAUUAUAUCUUUGAUACGAAAACUUAUUCCAACUGGUUUGGUGAAUGAUCACAACACUCAUGGAGUUGAUGCAAGCGAUGCC